Small nuclear RNA from Zalophus californianus (California sea lion), 107 nucleotides. Lineage: Eukaryota; Metazoa; Chordata; Mammalia; Carnivora; Otariidae. The record is from Ensembl.
GUGCUUGCUUCAGCAGCACAUACACUAAAAUUGGAAUGAUACAGAGAAGAUUAGCAUGGCCCCUGUGUGACGAUGACAGGCAAAUUCGUGAAGUGUUCCAUAUUUUU